This 199-nucleotide long non-coding RNA is filed under the name Elaeis guineensis (African oil palm). RNAcentral's name for it is "long non-coding RNA (EGUI_LNC053510)". The record is from RNAcentral. Lineage: Eukaryota; Viridiplantae; Streptophyta; Magnoliopsida; Arecales; Arecaceae.
AGGAGGGGAAAGCCAUAUAUAAGAUAUGGCAGAAUGACAGUACUACUGUCAAGUGCAUCAUGUUGGCCUCCAUGAGCAAUGAGUUGUAGAGACAAAAUGAGAAAAUGGAUCCUCAAUCCAUACUCAAUCUUUAGGAGUUUAUACGGAGAGCAGAGAUGGACUGCUAGAUAUGAAAUAUCCAUGCAACUUUUUCAGGCCA